This 254-nucleotide ribosomal RNA is filed under the name uncultured bacterium. Its description in RNAcentral is "partial 16S ribosomal RNA". It matches the Rfam family "Bacterial small subunit ribosomal RNA", at positions 524 to 776 of the family's 1533-position model. The record is from RNAcentral.
UACGUAGGGACCAAGCGUUGUUCGGAUUUACUGGGCGUAAAGGGCGCGUAGGCGGCCAGCACAAGUCAGUUGUGAAAUCUCCGGGCUUAACUCGGAAAGGUCAACUGAUACUGUGCGGCUAGAGUGCAGAAGGGGCAACUGGAAUUCUCGGUGUAGCAGUGAAAUGCGUAGAUAUCGAGAGGAACACCUGCGGCGAAGGCGGGUUGCUGGGCUGACACUGACGCUGAUGCGCGAAAGCCAGGGGAGCGAACGGG